GCUCUGGUGGCUCAAUCGGAUAGAGCGUUGGACUUUUAAUCCAAAGGUUGCGGGUUCAAGUCCCGCCCAGAGUA
This 74-nucleotide transfer RNA is filed under the name Perkinsus marinus ATCC 50983. It matches the Rfam family "tRNA". From Rfam's summary of the family: Transfer RNA (tRNA) molecules are approximately 80 nucleotides in length. Their secondary structure includes four short double-helical elements and three loops (D, anti-codon, and T loops). Further hydrogen bonds mediate the characteristic L-shaped molecular structure. tRNAs have two regions of fundamental functional importance: the anti-codon, which is responsible for specific mRNA codon recognition, and the 3' end, to which the tRNAs corresponding amino acid is attached (by aminoacyl-tRNA synthetases). tRNAs cope with the degeneracy of the genetic code in two manners: having more than one tRNA (with a specific anti-codon) for a particular amino acid; and 'wobble' base-pairing, i.e. permitting non-standard base-pairing at the 3rd anti-codon position. Lineage: Eukaryota; Perkinsozoa; Perkinsida; Perkinsidae. The record is from Rfam by way of RNAcentral.